CCGCGAAGCGUCGCCCGCAUGCCGGUGGCUGAGACGGCCUUCUCUAUUUCAUCGAUCGUAGCGAGGUUCUGUGGGCUGACCCGCAUCGUGCCUUGCUUGGUAUCAAAGCCGAGCUUGUCAUCGCCGCCAACGAGAGGNNNNGCAGCUUUGAGCUGCCGCACCUCGUUUUGGCAAUCCAAACCGUCGAUUUCGAAGAGAAGCUCGGUUUGAGGACCCAUGUGCGAGACCACUCGCAUUCCCGUGCGAGCCACGG
RNAcentral lists this unclassified non-coding RNA (253 nucleotides) under Hevea brasiliensis (rubber tree). The record is from RNAcentral. Lineage: Eukaryota; Viridiplantae; Streptophyta; Magnoliopsida; Malpighiales; Euphorbiaceae.